Molecule: ribosomal RNA, 465 nt
Filed under: uncultured bacterium
Lineage: Bacteria
Description: bacterial SSU rRNA
Rfam family: Bacterial small subunit ribosomal RNA
Source: RNAcentral
GGACCCGCACAAGCGGUGGAGCAUGUGGUUUAAUUCGACGCAACGCGAAGAACCUUACCUGGACUAGAAUGUGAGGGAAGGGCUUCUAACAGAGUCCGUCUGGGAAACCAGACCCAAAACAAGGUGCUGCAUGGCUGUCGUCAGCUCGUGUCGUGAGAUGUUGGGUUAAGUCCCGCAACGAGCGCAACCCUUAUCAACAGUUGCCAUCAUUAAGUUGGGAACUCUGUUGAGACUGCCGUUGAUAAAACGGAGGAAGGUGGGGAUGAUGUCAAGUCAUCAUGGCCUUUAUGUUCAGGGCUACACACGUGCUACAAUGGAUGGUACAAAACGUCGCAAUCCCGCGAGGGGGAGCUAAUCGCUAAAACCAUUCUCAGUUCGGAUUGGAGUCUGCAACUCGACUCCAUGAAGUUGGAAUCGCUAGUAAUCGCAAAUCAGCAUGUUGCGGUGAAUACGUUCCCGGGUCUU